Long non-coding RNA from Microplitis mediator, 765 nucleotides. RefSeq lists it as uncharacterized. The record is from RefSeq and is a predicted model, not a curated record. Lineage: Eukaryota; Metazoa; Arthropoda; Insecta; Hymenoptera; Braconidae. The transcript is spliced from 3 exons.
GGUCAGCUCGCUAUAGAUCAUCCGGAUUUUCGAAAUUUGGAUUACAAAAAAGCCGUUAAUACAAUUUUUGGAAAUCCGGAGUCUGCCGAAGUAGUUCACCAUUCGCUGAAUCUUUCAUCGGCCUGUCCUGAAGAAUAUAUGCCGUAUACAAAUUAUACGUAUGACUUCAGGGCGAUGAUCGAUUUUGUUUUUUAUGGAACAUCUAAUAUGAGACCAAUAGGAUUCUAUGGUCCUAUACAUGAUCAGUGGUUCCAAGAUAACAUGAUAGUGGGCUGCCCUAAUCGGCACAUUCCAUCGGAUCACUUUCCUCUGGUGGUACAUUUCAAGAUGGUAACUUGAAGAGUCAGUUAUCGAUUACGUGGCUGUAAAAGGUACUACAUCUUACUCUUUUUCGUCGGCUGUACAUCGGUCCUAAUACACUGAGAGACAAAUUUAUUCGCCUAGAAUAAAGACGCGUACUAAAAUUUCUUCCAAAGUACCACUACAGGCGUGUUCAGAAACACACUCUAGAAGAGAAAUAUUCAACUCCUGCACGGAGAGAAGAAAAUGGUAAUAAUUACCAUUCUACAUGGCAACUCGUCCUAUUAUUCAAAGCAUAGGAAUCGAUACUAUGUAGUAUGGGAAUGAUUACCAUUCUUCUGUUAAUAUUUACUAUGCUACAUAAUAAUCAUGCUACUGGUAAAUAUUACUUUGUAGCAUAGUAAUCAAAGCCAUGCUAGAAUGGUACUGAGUCCCAUGCUGUAUAUCGUGGAUGCAGUUUGAGUA